AAACAAAGGUAGCUGUUACUCCUUCAGCAAAAGAAUCCUUUAAAUCUUCACCUAAAACUACCCAUGAGCAGAAGCCUGAUCAUCCUAAUUCACCAAGUAAUGAUUAUGUUGCUUAUGUUUACUGUGCUUAUCUUACCAAGCUGGACAUUUCAACUGAGCUUACUGAUCCAGAGUUGCACAAUCAGUUUAUGAGCUUGUUUAAUAUAGAACAGAGUGCUACUGCUGAUGAAGACACUGCCAUGCUAGUAAAUUUGAAGGAUGGUGCUAGAGCAGUACCAAAAAGUUCUGAUACCUU
RNAcentral lists this unclassified non-coding RNA (295 nucleotides) under Hevea brasiliensis (rubber tree). Lineage: Eukaryota; Viridiplantae; Streptophyta; Magnoliopsida; Malpighiales; Euphorbiaceae. The record is from RNAcentral.